Long non-coding RNA from Cygnus atratus (black swan), 3150 nucleotides. RefSeq lists it as uncharacterized. The transcript is spliced from 5 exons. The record is from RefSeq and is a predicted model, not a curated record. Lineage: Eukaryota; Metazoa; Chordata; Aves; Anseriformes; Anatidae.
AAAAUAUUGCUGGGUGUGACACGUUUGUAGAUCCUAGACAUCUGGGGUAUCACAAUUAGAAACCCUUUGUGGACAUAUUUUCAUUAGUCAUAAAAAAGACAAGUCAUUUUUUCCUGUUUUCUCAAGAUUUCAAAGCUCUGCACUGUAUCCCUAAACAUGAGGAAAUGAGGCAACGGAGCAUUUGUCUGCAUCAGCACUAGGGACCAAACCUACAGCCUAUGAUUUCACUAAAUCUCCAUCUGGCAGGCUUUGUGUUCUUUGUAACAUGGAUGGCUGAGGAGAAGUUGUGGACAAGUUAACUGCAUGCAAAUCUGGAUCUUCACACAAGAUGGAAGGAGUCUGUCAUAACUGAAACAUAUUCAGUUAUUUUCUUCACAAAUGGCUGCUCUUGUCCUUUCUGAAGCAACUUAGGCUGUCUGCACAACUCAUAUGUGGAAGAAAAUCUCUGCUUUCAGUAUACAGCAUAAAGGCACCUUGAAGCCACAUGUAGAAGCUGCAGUGACACUUGCUGGAGAAGGCUGAGCUGAUUACUUUCUGCUUCAUGGGCUGCUGAGAUUCCAGGCACCAGAUUCUGAAUGGACUCUUCUUGGAUCACUUGGAGGAAAUUCUUAUUAAACAGGAUGUGCCUCUUCCUUAGGGUGACAGGUUAUAUACAGAGAUUUUUCAUCACAGUGAAAACUGCUUCAUUUGCUGCCAACCAUAUGUAAAGCAAGAAGAAAAGUCUGGCCUUACUGACUCCUGGGGACUGAAAGUGGAGACAAAAAGGAAACACAUACAUUAUAAAUGUUCUUUUUAAAACGUAGUUUUACAAGACUCAAAAUACGUGGAAUUGAAAAAUACAUUUAAAAACAAAAUAGUCAGGAAUGCAAGCAUGUGCUGUUUUGAAGAUGAUAUUUUGAAGGUCGAUUGGUGUAUUUUAAGCCUAGAAGUCUUAUAUUCUGCAUAUUACAAAUAGACAGUCUUUUAUGAAUCCACUCAUGCCUUAAGUCCAAAUACAUUCAGUGUCAACAACAGAUCCCAUACACCCAAUGACCUGAAGAUUAGGUUGGUUUGGGAAAAAAAAAAAGGUAAAUUUUUAUAGCAGUUUUUAGACGGGUCUUUCCAUUGUCCCGAGUGUCUAAAAUAACCAUUUUUUUUCCCAAAAAAAAGUCCAACCUGAUCUCAAACAUUUAUGAUAAUGUUGGUUUUUAAAUGUAUUCAUUUGAUAUAUUUAUGACCUGUCAUUGUUAGUGAUGUGGCCAUUAGUGGGCUGAGGCUUUCAUUUCUGAGUAUAACCUCUUUGUUGUGGUAUAUAAGGAUUAAUUUUAUUAUAUAGUACCACCAACGGUAGAGGCCUCUAAUUGUCUAUCUUGAGAUUUUUUAUCUGGGGUUUAAAGGCUUGCUAUAAACUUAUCCUGCAGUGUAGAGGAAACACAUGGCAAAGGAUAAAAAGCAGAUCGUCUACUUGGGCUUGAGAGUGUUGUGUGAUCUUCCUUUUUUUUAUAUUUUGACCGGAUAUUACUUGUUUGGUUGGAUGUGAAGUGUGGCAAACUUGAAAAAUGAAGUAAAUCUUGCCUUGAGGCAGAAAAAAUGCUAAAGAAGCUUUUAGGUCAAACUAUCAGUUUUACAGCAAUAGUUUUGUAUAUUUGUGUAUAUUCUGGAGUAUUCUUAUGUACUCUUCUAUUACUUUUUCUUUCUUUUUUUUUUUUUAAUAAGAAGUGAAAAUACAUAUAAGCUUGUGCAGAUUCUGAUGCAAAAUCACCUUGUUUCCUAGUUUUUAGACUUUUUCUUUGUUAAGGAAGUGCACUGGGCAAGAUUCAUACAAACCUGAAAGAUCUAAUACUGACCACCAGAAGAGCUGGCUGCAUGAAACUUGUUUUAUUAAACUCUGUGGUGAAUUUUUGUGCUUAUGCCAUGCUAUUGAUGUGCAGCAUUAUUUACGCUGUGCUGUUUGAAUAUUUCAUGACACUGCUAAUGCCUAUAAUGACAAUUCUUGCAGUGACACUACAUCUCAGCAAGACUCAGGGAUGCUAGGAGAUCUGUCUCCUGAGUAGUCAUUUGCAGCUUAGCCUGGGUGCAUAUCAGGUCCUGGUACCAUAUGACAAGAGGGCUACUUCAUCCUAUAAGGAGGGCUUCUACAGAAUUACACCACUGGCAGGUCCCCUUUCAUGACUCUCAAGAUCCCCUGUGCUGCUGCUUCUGUGAUCCUUCUGAGCCCCACAGAGUCCACAUGCAACAACUUUGCUCUGUUCAGUCGUUCUGUUAGACAAAAAGUGAUUUUUUUUGUUUUGUUUUCACUGGUUCAGUUUCACAAAAAGUGGAAAAGAGUAAGGUGGCAUUCUGGGCAGCAGGACCCCAUCUCCCCACCUUUGAUGCAGAUACUGUAUGGAAGCAGGGACACUGUGGGACUAAGGGUGUGGCUCAGGAUCAGGCAAUGCUGAGCAGCAAACGCUCUUUCAAAGUCAGCCCUGUAACACUCGUAUUUUGGGUUAUGCGUGCAUUGCAGUUGGUCUAGUGCUUGCUGUAUCUUGCUACUCUCUAUCCCACCUCCCAGUUCUGAAAAGUGAAACCCUCUGUACCCUCUAUACAAGGGAUUCUACAAAUAUGUUGCAAGUCACCCUGCAAAACUAAUACAUUUCCUUCUUUGCCAUAAUUUGGUACUAAUCUUGUCAUCCAGGUCAAAAAUCUGUCUGUCUUUCUCACAGGAUCAAUGCAAGCCAUUGGGAUGAAGGUCCUACACAUCAAAGAAGGUAAACCCUGCAACAGACUCUCAGCUUCACAUGAAGUAAUGGAUGUAUACAAUAAACUUUUAUACAAGAACAUCUGCACUUGCGAUUGCACAAAGAUCUCACUUCACAGAGAGGCCCAACAAACGAGAAGUAAAAGCCUUUUCAGAGACAAGGCACAAACCUGUUUCACUAACUUCACUGGGAGAUGGCACUUGCCUCCAACACACACACACACAAAAAAAAAAAUGCGGGGGUGGAUUUGAACCUGAGAUAGCAAGUGGUUUAAGUUACCUCUGUUUAUUUCACUCUUACAGCACUAUUCUCCUAUGAUCUGUACCUAAGAUAAAUUGUUCUUCUGUGGGUUUGUUACUUAUCUUAACAGUAUUUCUCAAAAAAAGUAAAGGUCAUUUAGGAGACAAUAAAAUGUAUCAAUUCAAAUCAC